RNAcentral lists this ribosomal RNA (446 nucleotides) under uncultured bacterium. Its description in RNAcentral is "partial 16S ribosomal RNA". It matches the Rfam family "Bacterial small subunit ribosomal RNA", at positions 338 to 795 of the family's 1533-position model. The record is from RNAcentral.
CCUACGGGAGGCAGCAGUCGAGAAUCAUUCACAAUGGGGGAAACCCUGAUGGUGCGACGCCGCGUGGGGGAAUGAAGGUCUUCAGAUUGUAAACCCCUGUCAUGUGGGAGCAAAUUAAAAAGAUAGUACCACAAGAGGAAGAGACGGCUAACUCUGUGCCAGCAGCCGCGGUAAUACAGAGGUCUCAAGCGUUGUUCGGAAUCACUGGGCGUAAGGCGUGCGUAGGCUGUUUCGUAAGUCGUGUGUGAAAGGCGCGGGCUCAACCCGCGGACGGCACAUGAUACUGCGAGACUAGAGUAAUGGAGGGGGAACCGGAAUUCUCGGUGUAGCAGUGAAAUGCGUAGAUAUCGAGAGGAACACUCGUGGCGAAGGCGGGUUCCUGGACAUUAACUGACGCUGAGGCACGAAGGCCAGGGGAGCGAAAGGGAUUAGAUACCCGUGUAGUC